RNAcentral lists this ribosomal RNA (492 nucleotides) under uncultured bacterium. Its description in RNAcentral is "partial 16S ribosomal RNA". It matches the Rfam family "Bacterial small subunit ribosomal RNA", at positions 29 to 507 of the family's 1533-position model. The record is from RNAcentral.
AGUGAACGCUGGCGGUAGGCCUAACACAUGUAAGUCGAACGGCAGCACAGUAAGAGCUUGCUCUUACGGGUGGCGAGUGGCGGACGGGUGAGGAAUACAUCGGAAUCUACUUUUUCGUGGGGGAUAACGUAGGGAAACUUACGCUAAUACCGCAUACGACCUACGGGUGAAAGCAGGGGAUCUUCGGACCUUGCGCGAUUGAAUGAGCCGAUGUCGGAUUAGCUAGUUGGCGGGGUAAAGGCCCACCAAGGCGACGAUCCGUAGCUGGUCUGAGAGGAUGAUCAGCCACACUGGAACUGAGACACGGUCCAGACUCCUACGGGAGGCAGCAGUGGCGAAUAUUGGACAAUGGGCGCAAGCCUGAUCCAGCCAUACCGCGUGGGUGAAGAAGGCCUUCGGGUUGUAAAGCCCUUUUGUUGGGAAAGAAAAGCAGCAGGUUAAUACCCCGCUGUUCUGACGGUACCCAAAGAAUAAGCACCGGCUAACUUCGUG